RNAcentral lists this ribosomal RNA (467 nucleotides) under uncultured bacterium. RNAcentral's name for it is "partial 16S ribosomal RNA". It matches the Rfam family "Bacterial small subunit ribosomal RNA", at positions 28 to 507 of the family's 1533-position model. The record is from RNAcentral.
GAUGAACGCUGGCGGCGUGCUUAACACAUGCAAGUCGAACGAUGAUGCCCAGCUUGCUGGGUGGAUUAGUGGCGAACGGGUGAGUAACACGUGAGUAACCUGCCCUUGACUCUGGGAUAAGCCUGGGAAACUGGGUCUAAUACCGGAUACGACCAUCUGGCGCAUGUCAUGGUGGUGGAAAGCUUUUGUGGUUUUGGAUGGACUCGCGGCCUAUCAGCUUGUUGGUGGGGUAAUGGCCUACCAAGGCGACGACGGGUAGCCGGGCUGAGAGGGUGACCGGCCACACUGGGACUGAGACACGGCCCAGACUCCUACGGGAGGCAGCAGUGGGGAAUAUUGCACAAGGGGCGCAAGCCUGAUGCAGCGACGCCGCGUGAGGGAUGACAGCCUUCGGGUUGGAAACCUCUUUCAGUAGGGAAGAAGCGAAAGUGACGGUACCUGCAGAAGAAGCGCCGGCUAACUACGUG